CCUACGGGCGGCAGCAGUGAGGAAUAUUGGUCAAUGGGCGCGAGCCUGAACCAGCCAAGUAGCGUGAAGGAUGACUGCCCUACGGGUUGUAAACCUCUUUUAUAAAGGAAUAAAGUGAGGCACGUGUGCCUUUUUGUGAGUACUCUAUGAAUAAGGAUCGGCUAACUCCGUGCCAGCAGCCGCGGUAAUACGGAGGAUCCGAGCGUUAUCCGGAUUUAUUGGGUUUAAAGGGUGCGUAGGUGGAUUGUUAAGUCAGUUGUGAAAGUUUGCGGCUCAACCGUAUAAUUGCAGUUGAAACUGGCUGUCUUGAGUACAGGAGAGGUGUGCGGAAUUCGUGGUGUAGCGGUGAAAUGCUUAGAUAUCACGCAGAACUCCGAUUGCGAAGGCAGUACACUGGACUGCAACUGACGCUGAGGCACGAAAGUGUGGGUAUCGAACAGGAUUAGAUACCCCAGUAGUC
RNAcentral lists this ribosomal RNA (460 nucleotides) under uncultured bacterium. RNAcentral describes it as "partial 16S ribosomal RNA". It matches the Rfam family "Bacterial small subunit ribosomal RNA", at positions 338 to 795 of the family's 1533-position model. The record is from RNAcentral.